CUAACAGUUGACCCCAUGAAAGGUUAAGGAUUAGUUGCUAGUGUUAGUACUUAGAGGCUACAAUUUAAUGGUUUCGGAUGCAGCCGUAGCCUGUAGAGUUCAGGAUCGUGAUGUCAUAUCGCUAAGCAUCAUGGGAUUUGCAGCAUUAUUAAACAAAUGGAGAUUUUCAAAGGUAAUACUGUAGUUUCUCACUGUCAUCAUUAUUUAUCCACUCCAUACUUGGUGGUAAGCUACUGUUGUAUUAGGAACCAGAAAAUGGGGUUUUCAUCACUUUGAGACAAUACAACAAUGUGAUGCUAUUGCUAGCUACUGCAGGACAAGACAGAAAAGGACGUUGGAAUGUGGAGUUUUCAAAAAGAAGCAGAGCAGCUAUAAAACAUGUUUACCGGUGAAUUAGCAGACUGUUUGCUGCUGCUCUUUCUCCCCCUGACUUCUGACCCUGGCUCACUUUGAUGACAUCAUGACUACUUCUGAGACAUACGAGGGGAAACAGCGGCCGCUUACUCAGACCAGCUGCAAUGGACAGACUGGAAGUUGUUCUGCACAAAAGAAGCCAGACCCAGAACAAAGCAACACCUUGGUCCCGACUGAGCGCGCGUCAGGGUUUCCCAACCAGGGGUGCAGGGACCCAUGGGGGCAUGCGAACAAGAGGUACUAGGAAUUAUUUAAAGUUUUGGAGGGUCCG
This 685-nucleotide long non-coding RNA is filed under the name Neogobius melanostomus (round goby). RNAcentral describes it as "lncRNA (ENSNMLG00000002350.1)". Lineage: Eukaryota; Metazoa; Chordata; Actinopteri; Gobiiformes; Gobiidae. The record is from RNAcentral.